Molecule: ribosomal RNA, 429 nt
Filed under: Chloroflexota bacterium
Lineage: Bacteria; Bacillati; Chloroflexota
Description: Chloroflexi bacterium partial 16S ribosomal RNA
Rfam family: Bacterial small subunit ribosomal RNA
Source: RNAcentral
UGGGGAAUAUUGCACAAUGGGCGCAAGCCUGAUGCAGCCAUGCCGCGUGUAUGAAGAAGGCCUUCGGGUUGUAAAGUACUUUCAGUCGGGAGGAAGGUGGUAAGGUUAAUAACCUUAUCAAUUGACGUUACCGACAGAAGAAGCACCGGCUAACUCCGUGCCAGCAGCCGCGGUAAUACGGAGGGUGCAAGCGUUAAUCGGAAUUACUGGGCGUAAAGCGCACGCAGGCGGUUUGUUAAGUCAGAUGUGAAAUCCCCGGGCUUAACCCGGGAAUUGCAUCUGAUACUGGUCAGCUAGAGUCUUGUAGAGGGGGGUAGAAUUCCAUGUGUAGCGGUGAAAUGCGUAGAGAUGUGGAGGAAUACCGGUGGCGAAGGCGGCCCCCUGGACGAAGACUGACGCUCAGGUGCGAAAGCGUGGGGAGCAAACAGG